GAUGAAGAACGUAGUGAAAUGCGAUAAGUAAUGUGAAUUGCAGAAUUCAGUGAAUCAUCGAAUCUUUGAACGCACAUUGCGCCCGCCAGUAUUCUGGCGGGCAUGCCUGUUCGAGCGUCAUUUCAACCAUCAAGCCCCGGGCUUGUGUUGGGGACCUGCGGCUGCCGCAGGCCCUGAAAUGCAGUGGCGGGCUCGCUGUCACUCCGAGCGUAGUAGUUACAUCUCGCUCUGGGCGUGCUGCGGGUUCCGGCCGUUAAACCACCUUCAUAACCCAAGGUUGACCUCGGAUCAGGUAGGAAGACCCGCUGAACUUAAGCAUAUCAAUAAGCGGAGGA
RNAcentral lists this unclassified non-coding RNA (335 nucleotides) under soil metagenome. RNAcentral's name for it is "partial contains 5.8S ribosomal RNA, internal transcribed spacer 2, and large subunit ribosomal RNA". The stretch from base 1 to 120 matches the Rfam family "5.8S ribosomal RNA", at positions 35 to 154 of the family's 154-position model. The record is from RNAcentral.